AACCAGUUCAUGCAAGCACCAAAUCACUUCAACUCAUACCAACUGAAGUUCGAUUGAAAGCAAUCAUAUCGAUCACGUACUUAGCUUCAUUUGGUUCUGGAAACAAAUGGCUCUCCAUCAAGAUUUAGCAUCUCCAGCUCAAACCCUAAAUGCUGCUUUCGAUGUUAAGCCACGUCCUGCUAAUUAUGCCCCAUGCAUCUGGGGCAUCAUUUUCUCUCAUAUUCUUCUAUGGAACUAGACGUUAAAGUCGAGCAACAUGUCCAAGAACUGAAAGAAGAAGUGAAAAGAAUGCUAAUGGUUGUAGUUAACGAGCCUGCUUCGCACAUGUUGGACAUGGUGGAUAACAUUCAGCGUUUAGGCUUGUCGUACCAUUUCGAAAAUGAGAUUGAUACAAUCUUGAAACACGCUCAUGAUCAUUUUUAUGGAAGUAAAGAUUUUGGAAAGGAUGGUGACCUUUACACUACUGCUCUCCAUUUUCGAUUGCUUCGACAACAAGGCUAUAAUGUUUCAUGCGAUGUGUUCAACAAGUUCAAGGAAAGUGACGGGACAUUUAAGGAAUAUCUUACGAGCGAUGUGGUAGGACUACUAAGCUUGUAUGAAGCCACUCAUCUUAGGGUUCAUGGAGAAGACAUACUUGAAGAGGCACUGAUCUUCACCACGACCCAUCUGGAGUCUGCAGCACCCCGAUUGAGUUCUCCCUUGUCAAAACAAGUAACUCAUGCCUUGUAUCAGCCACUUUGGAAGGGCUUUUCAAGGGUUGAAGCAAGGCACUACAUGUCUGUCUAUGAGGACUAUGAUUCACACAACAAAACUUUGCUAACUCUUGCAAAGUUGGAUUUCAACUUAAUGCAGAAAGUCCAUCAGAAAGAACUAAGUGAUAUGACGAGGUGGUGGAAGGACUUGGACUUUGCAAACAAGCUACCUUUUGCAAGAGACAGAAUAGUCGAGACCUACUUUUGGGCUUUAGCAACCAUAUUUGAACCUGAAUAUCACUUCGCUAGGACGAUGGUAUGCAAAUAUGGUGCUCUAACUACAGUGCAAGAUGAUGUUUACGAUGUCUAUGGCUCAUAUCAAGAACUAGAGCUCUAUACAGAUGCCAUUGAGAGGUGGGACAUUUCUGCUAUUGAUGAUCAAUUACCCCAGUGUUUGAAGGAUUGUUAUAAAGGACUGCUGGACAGCUACUCUGCAUAUGAAGAAAAGCUUGCGAAAGAAGGAAACUUGUAUCGCCUUGACUAUGCCAAAGAAGCAAUCAAAAUUCAACUUCGAGGUUACUUCCAGGAAGCCAAAUGGUUGAAGGAAAAAUACACACCAACAAUGGAUGAAUAUAUUCCAAAUGGACUUAACUCAUCCUUCUAUCCGAUGGCAAUCACAUCCUUUGUUGGAAUGGGAGGUCUUGUUACAAAAGACACCAUGGAUUGGGUGUUGAAUGACCCUAAGAUUGUUAAGGCUACAGCACUAACCGGCAGACUCCUCAAUGACAUGGCUGGCCACAAGUUUGAGCAAGACAUAGAGCAGGGCGCCUCAUCGGUAGAAUGCUACAUGAAUCAAUAUGGUGUCACAGAAGAGGAAGCGAAAAUCGAGCUGACCAAACAAAAGGAUGCUGCAUGGAAAGACAUAAACCAAGAGUGGCUCGAUCUCCACUCCAGCAAUAGUAUCCCCAAACCCCUCCUGCAGAUCAUUUUGAAUCUUGCACGUUCUGGUGAAGUUCUUUACAAGAAUGAAGAUCUCUAUACCAACGCUGAAGCUGGACUCAAGGGUUUUAUAGUUUCUCUCCUCAUCAAACCGGUGCCUGUUUAAGCCUAUAAGCUGGUACUUGUUAAUCCUCUAUGCCGUGAAAUCAGUCUCGUCUGUCGAGAAAUCUAUAUAUAUAUGUUCUCUAAUAUAGUUUCACAGAUGGCCUGAUGGCCACUAUGUGUUGUUGGUGAAACGAUUUGGUUUGAAUAAAGCACUUUAUUUUGGGAUGAAAUAAGCAAUAUGUAUUAUGGCAGGUUUUCUGCCUUGUAUCGAGUAAUGACCUAUAAUGUAUAAUAGGUUUUCUGUUUUGGAUUGAAUAAUGACUCUUUGAGUUUGUAGUGGAGUUUUUGAGUGUAUCUAUUAUUUAACCUAGCAUUUCUAAUUUGAUUGUAUGGCUUUUGCCUUGGAAUGAACAAUUCUAUUUUCCUUACAAAUAAACAUGUAUGUCUACUACUCUGCUUGCCAAGU
Molecule: RNA transcript, 2202 nt
Organism: Fragaria vesca subsp. vesca
Lineage: Eukaryota; Viridiplantae; Streptophyta; Magnoliopsida; Rosales; Rosaceae
Gene name: (-)-germacrene D synthase-like
Exons: 7
Source: RefSeq, a predicted model, not a curated record